Non-coding RNA from Pelobates cultripes (western spadefoot toad), 764 nucleotides. The record is from the annotation of a GenBank genome assembly. Lineage: Eukaryota; Metazoa; Chordata; Amphibia; Anura; Pelobatidae.
GAUCAGCACGCGGCGGUUUACAGGAAGUUCUGGGUGUGCGUUCCACCGCUGUGCGCGGGCGCACGGCCUGCCACAUAAAGGCGUCCCCCGGCCCGCCCAUACUCACCAAGCCGGAAUGUGCAAAGUUAAACAGAAAGGGCUCCAGAACCUCCACAGACGGAGCCAUGCUGCUCAGCCUACCACCCGCGCGGCUAUCGGGCUUCCUCCCCCAAUUUAUUUAGCACUUUAGAGGAUGAUUGCCUAAAUAGUGUUAUGCUAUGUGAUUUUUGUUGUUCCAUUUUUCGGUUUGCUUUAUCUACAUAUGUGUUUUUCUAUCUGUUUAUAUCCUGGGAGACGUAAACCUCCAACUGCUGUAUUAAUGUAGCUUUUUACACAGUUGGUGUGGUUAUGGUGGAUUUGAAAUCCCAAUAUGUACUUAAGUAAAUGUGUGUAGUACAGGUGUGCAUUGUGCAUCCAAGUAGCGUCUGUAAUGGAAAUCUACACUUUACAAAUUUUGGGAAGCAAUACCAACAAGCCUAUCCCAGGGUUUUCCUCCACUUCCGUUAACGCCACAGAGUUAACAAAGUGGAAGAGGCUGUAUACUUUCAAUGAGCUCUAUUAUAACUAACUGAGGAGCAUUGGAAAGAAACAAGUGCAUGCUUGCUGCUCCAGCACAGAGACUUCUCAAUGAGAAUACUCCAAAAGGUAUAUUUACCAAAUUGAAAACUAAACAUGAAUUUCAAAUGUAUGGUCAAAAUAGCUGAAAUGCUAUUCUUUCAGUUCAC